This 273-nucleotide long non-coding RNA is filed under the name Setaria italica (foxtail millet). RNAcentral's name for it is "long non-coding RNA (SITA_LNC000908)". The record is from RNAcentral. Lineage: Eukaryota; Viridiplantae; Streptophyta; Magnoliopsida; Poales; Poaceae.
UGACUUGUGGGUGCAUCUAGAUGCAGAAAAAUGAUAUGCCUAACAAGCAUAGAGAUGUUUGGGAUAGAGAGGCAUCAGUGCAAGGAUUAUUCAGUGUUUGAAGAGCACUACAUGCUUGUGUGUGCAAGUCAGAGCGUGGAACAUUGGUGUAGUUGCGAGGUGGCUCUUCGAGACUUGGUGAUUGCUGUUCCACUGGACAGUCGAGGCAUGAUAUGCUUGAAGCAAAGACAGCUAGAGUUUAGAUGCAUCAACGCAAACAGUAGCAAAGGAUGA